Molecule: ribosomal RNA, 253 nt
Filed under: uncultured bacterium
Lineage: Bacteria
Description: partial 16S ribosomal RNA
Rfam family: Bacterial small subunit ribosomal RNA
Source: RNAcentral
UACGUAGGGGGCAAGCGUUGUCCGGAAUCAUUGGGCGUAAAGCGCGUGUAGGCGGUUCGGUAAGUCUGCUGUGAAAGUCUAGGGCUCAACCCUGGAAAGCCGGUGGAUACUGUCGGACUAGAGUGCGGAAGAGGCGAGUGGAAUUCCCGGUGUAGCGGUGAAAUGCGCAGAUAUCGGGAGGAACACCAAUUGCGAAGGCAGCUCGCUGGGACGUUACUGACGCUGAGACGCGAAAGCGUGGGGAGCAAACAGG